This 256-nucleotide ribosomal RNA is filed under the name uncultured bacterium. RNAcentral describes it as "partial 16S ribosomal RNA". It matches the Rfam family "Bacterial small subunit ribosomal RNA", at positions 524 to 776 of the family's 1533-position model. The record is from RNAcentral.
UACGUAGGCAGCAAGCGUUGUUCGGAAUUACUGGGCGUAAAGCGUGUGUAGGCGGUUGGGUAAGUCUGGUGUGAAAUCUCCCGGCUCAACUGGGAGGGUGCGCCGGAAACUGCCUGGCUAGAGUGCGGAAGAGGAGAGUGGAAUUCCCGGUGUAGCGGUGAAAUGCGUAGAUAUCGGAAGGAACACCUGUGGCGAAAAGCGGCUCACUGGACCAUUACUGACGCUGAUGCACGAAAAGCUAGGGGGAGCAAACAGG